RNAcentral lists this ribosomal RNA (515 nucleotides) under Stueberiana sp. UCR ENT 00128735. Its description in RNAcentral is "partial large subunit ribosomal RNA". It matches the Rfam family "Bacterial large subunit ribosomal RNA", at positions 1813 to 2597 of the family's 2925-position model. Lineage: Eukaryota; Metazoa; Arthropoda; Insecta; Hemiptera; Reduviidae. The record is from RNAcentral.
ACAUGUCCUUUUGUUAUUUAUAUAAGGUUUGGCCUGCCCAAUGAUUAUUUUUAAUGGCCGCGGUAUUUUAACCGUGCUAAGGUAGCAUAAUCAUUUGUCUUUUAAUUGAGGGCUGGAAUGAAGGGCUGGACGAGAUAUUAACUUUCUUUAGUUUAGUUUAUUGAAUUUGAUUUUUGAGUUAAAAAGCUUAGAUGUGUUUGUUGGACGAGAAGACCCUAUAGAUCUUUACAUUUAUUUUAUUUGUGGUGUUUGGUAUAUGAGAUAGGAGUUAGUAUUAGUAGUGUUUGGUUGGGGUGGUUGUAGAAUAAGAAUAGCUUCUAUUUUGAUUAUUUUCAUUAGUUAGUGUUUAUUUGAUCCAUUUAUAGUGAUUAAAAGAUUAAGUUACCUUAGGGAUAACAGCGUAAUUUCUUCGGAGAGUUCAUAUUGAUGAAGGGGUUUGCGACCUCGAUGUUGGAUUAAAAUAAGUUCUGAGUGCAGAAGCUUAUGGACUAGGUCUGUUCGACCUUUUAAUUUUU